RNAcentral lists this ribosomal RNA (253 nucleotides) under uncultured bacterium. RNAcentral describes it as "partial 16S ribosomal RNA". It matches the Rfam family "Bacterial small subunit ribosomal RNA", at positions 524 to 776 of the family's 1533-position model. The record is from RNAcentral.
UACGGAGGGUGCAAGCGUUAUCCGGAUUUACUGGGUUUAAAGGGUGCGUAGGUGGGUCUGUAAGUCAGUGGUGAAAUCUCCGGGCUUAACUCGGAAACUGCCAUUGAUACUAUAGAUCUUGAAUUAUCUGGAGGUGAGCGGAAUAUGUCAUGUAGCGGUGAAAUGCUUAGAUAUGACAUAGAACACCAAUUGCGAAGGCAGCUCACUACGGAUUUAUUGACACUGAGGCACGAAAGCGUGGGGAUCAAACAGG